Molecule: ribosomal RNA, 433 nt
Filed under: uncultured bacterium
Lineage: Bacteria
Description: partial 16S ribosomal RNA
Rfam family: Bacterial small subunit ribosomal RNA
Source: RNAcentral
AACGAACGCUGGCGGCAGGCCUAACACAUGCAAGUCGAGCGAGGACUUCGGGUCUAGCGGCGGACGGGUGAGUAACGCGUGGGAAUGUGCCCUUCUCUACGGAAUAGCCCUGGGAAACUGGUAGUAAUACCGGAUACGCCCUUUGGGGGAAAGAUUUAUCGGAUAAGGAUCAGCCCGCGUUGGAUUAGGUAGUUGGUGGGGUAAAGGCCUACCAAGGCGACGAUCCAUAGCUGGUUUGAGAGGAUGAUCAGCCACACUGGGACUGAGACACGGCCCAGACUCCUACGGGAGGCAGCAGUGGGGAAUAUUAGACAAUGGGCGCAACCCUGAUCUAGCCAUGCCGCGUGAGUGAUGAAGGCCUUAGGGUUGUAAAGCUCUUUCAGCUGGGAAGAUAAUGACGGUACCAGCAGAAGAAGCCCCGGCUAACUCCGUG